GACGAACGCUGGCGGCGUGCUUAACACAUGCAAGUCGAGCGGUAAGGCCCUUUCGGGGGUACACGAGCGGCGAACGGGUGAGUAACACGUGGGUGACCUGCCCUCAGCUCUGGGAUAAGCCCGGGAAACUGGGUCUAAUACCGGAUAUGACUUCAUGACGCAUGUUGUGGAGUGGAAAGCCUUGUGCGGCUGAGGAUGGGCCCGCGGCCUAUCAGCUUGUUGGUGGGGUGANGGCCUACCAAGGCGACGACGGGUAGCCGGCCUGAGAGGGCGACCGGGCCACACUGGGACUGAGAUACGGCCCAGACUCCUACGGGAGGCAGCAGUGGGGAAUCUUGCGCAAUGGGCGAAAGCCUGACGCAGCGACGCCGCGUGAGGGAU
Molecule: ribosomal RNA, 381 nt
Filed under: uncultured bacterium
Lineage: Bacteria
Description: bacterial SSU rRNA
Rfam family: Bacterial small subunit ribosomal RNA
Source: RNAcentral